UACAGAGGUCCCAAGCGUUGUUCGGAUUCAUUGGGCGUAAAGGGUGCGUAGGCGGCGCGGUAAGUCGGGUGUGAAAUCUCGGGGCUUAACUCCGAAACUGCAUUCGAUACUGCCGUGCUUGAGGACUGGAGAGGAGACUGGAAUUUACGGUGUAGCGGUGAAAUGCGUAGAUAUCGUAAGGAAGACCAGUGGCGAAGGCGGGUCUCUGGACAGUUCCUGACGCUGAGGCACGAAGGACAGGGGAGCAAACGGG
Molecule: ribosomal RNA, 253 nt
Filed under: uncultured bacterium
Lineage: Bacteria
Description: partial 16S ribosomal RNA
Rfam family: Bacterial small subunit ribosomal RNA
Source: RNAcentral